UCUUGGCCAGCCUUCUGAAAGGAAGAUUAAUACAAGAUGGCAUCAUGAGUCCGCAUGUUCACAUGAUUAAAGGUAUUCCGGUAGACGAUGGGGAUGCGUUCCAUUAGAUAGUAGGCGGGGUAACGGCCCACCUAGUCUUCGAUGGAUAGGGGUUCUGAGAGGAAGGUCCCCCACAUUGGAACUGAGACACGGUCCAAACUCCUACGGGAGGCAGCAGUGAGGAAUAUUGGUCAAUGGGCGAGAGCCUGAACCAGCCAAGUAGCGUGAAGGAUGACUGCCCUAUGGGUUGUAAACUUCUUUUAUAAAGGAAUAAAGUCGGGUAUGGAUACCCGUUUGCAUGUACUUUAUGAAUAAGGAUCGGCUAACUCCGUGCCAGCAGCCGCGGUAAUACGGAGGAUCCGAGCGUUAUCCGGAUUUAUUGGGUUUAAAGGGAGCGUAGAUGGAUGUUUAAGUCAGUUGUGAAAGUUUGCGGCUCAACCGUAAAAUUGCAGUUGAUACUGGAUAUCUUGAGUGCAGUUGAGGCAGGCGGAAUUCGUGGUGUAGCGGUGAAAUGCUUAGAUAUCACGAAGAACUCCGAUUGCGAAGGCAGCCUGCUAAGCUGCAACUGACAUUGAGGCUCGAAAGUGUGGGUAUCAAACAGGAUUAGAUACCCUGGUAGUCCACACGGUAAACGAUGAAUACUCGCUGUUUGCGAUAUACGGCAAGCGGCCAAGCGAAAGCGUUAAGUAUUCCACCUGGGGAGUACGCCGGCAACGGUGAAACUCAAAGGAAUUGACGGGGGCCCGCACAAGCGGAGGAACAUGUGGUUUAAUUCGAUGAUACGCGAGGAACCUUACCCGGGCUUAAAUUGCAGAUGAAUUACGGUGAAAGCCGUAAGCCGCAAGGCAUCUGUGAAGGUGCUGCAUGGUUGUCGUCAGCUCGUGCCGUGAGGUGUCGGCUUAAGUGCCAUAACGAGCGCAACCCUUGUUGUCAGUUACUAACANGUUCUGCUGAGGACUCUGACAAGACUGCCAUCGUAAGA
Molecule: ribosomal RNA, 1021 nt
Filed under: uncultured Bacteroides sp.
Lineage: Bacteria; Pseudomonadati; Bacteroidota; Bacteroidia; Bacteroidales; Bacteroidaceae
Description: bacterial SSU rRNA
Rfam family: Bacterial small subunit ribosomal RNA
Source: RNAcentral